CACCGGUCCCCUCGCAACGAUAGGCUGAAAACCCCGCCAGGCCCGGAAGGGAGCAACGGUAUUGGCUGACUCGUGUGCCGGGGUGUGGCUGGUGUUA
This 97-nucleotide signal recognition particle RNA is filed under the name Gammaproteobacteria bacterium. RNAcentral's name for it is "signal recognition particle sRNA small type". It matches the Rfam family "Bacterial small signal recognition particle RNA". From Rfam's summary of the family: The signal recognition particle (SRP) is a universally conserved ribonucleoprotein involved in the co-translational targeting of proteins to membranes. Archaeal SRP consists of a 7S RNA and homologues of the eukaryotic SRP19 and SRP54 proteins. The record is from RNAcentral. Lineage: Bacteria; Pseudomonadati; Pseudomonadota; Gammaproteobacteria.